UGUCAAACGACGUGCACAAACGACCAGAUUGUCGUGGAGAAAACGAUUGUUCGUGUAGAGCAAGGCCAUCUGUUGCUGACCCGCUUUUACGACGUCAGGAUGACAGUGACCAACUACAGACAUAUUUUAACCAAGUAGAUCGAUUCGAGGAUGUCACAGCGUUAUCAUGAUGACCCGAGCAACGCCCGAUAGCUACGUUCCGCGGGCUUCCUAUGAAUAAAUAUACAGGCUGGGCUUAAAGUGGCGCGAAAUAAGUUUCGGAGGAUGGUGAAGGUGAAAUUCUCGUUAUUUUGGUGACAAGUUUCCAAUCGAUUCAGCCUCGAUGCGCUGGCGACCGAAACUUAAUUACCUAUACAGGCAGCCGAUAAGGGAAAGUGGUGAACUACUGGCUUGUCUAUCACUUUCUAAUCCACGUCUCAUCGAAAAGGCCUGAAUAAUUAUUUUUUCAGGCUGCUGCGAUCUCUUCGGUGGCACGAUGGCUUUGGGCACUGCGUAUCGCUUGCGGGUCAACCGACGAUAUAAAAAGUUUCGAAAUAACUAAACAUCGAGAAAGGAUUUGCCAACGAGGAUUGCGAGAGUGAAUGACGCACGAAUGAAACGUGGCUCGUUUUCGGUUGUGAAGGUUUUUAUUUUCAAUUUUUUAAUUUCAAAUAUUCUAGUAUUCGUUACGAUCGCACGAUUUAUGUUUAUGUACAGCCGAUGGAUUUUAAAUUGUGAUUAAUUGGUAAAUUAAUAGGAUUUUUCGUACUUACCCGAUGUGACGCUCGCGAAGUUUGAUCGUAUCACUUUUGUGCAUUUGCUCAAGCGAAUCGGCCAUCAUGAUUUCCUCUUUCCAAUCGCUGUUUAUCUGGGAUUAACAAAAUUGAAAAUCGCUCAAUGAAGCAUCACCGGUGAGCCUGAUCCGCUUAUAUUUUACUGAUUUUAUCAAUAAUUCAUCGGGAAAUGUUCAUCGGGAAUCAAAUGAAGUAUCAGUUUAAUCGGAAGACACGGAUCCGAUUGCCAAUGUCGUUGGUUCACGAGACCACUUUACGUUACGACGUGAAUAGCGCUUUUAAUUUACCCUCCCGCAUCCAUCGUUUCCGAACGAACGAUUUUUUCAAAGAGACUUUGACAUUGCAUUUUCUUCCUCAUUCUCAAGUACUUUUGAACGAUUCCAUGAAAUCACGAUCCCGGGAAUUUUGAGAGUCCAAACCGCGACAAAACGAUCACUCGGAAGCGUAAAAAGUACUCAGAAAAAUUCUGAUGACUGAAACUCUCCCCAAAAUGUUGAAGUACAAAAAAAUCCACAAGAAUUAACUAGAAAUAAAGCAUUAGAAAAUAGUUCUGAGCCAAUAAAAUCGUUCAAAAAAUCA
Molecule: long non-coding RNA, 1352 nt
Filed under: Venturia canescens
Lineage: Eukaryota; Metazoa; Arthropoda; Insecta; Hymenoptera; Ichneumonidae
Description: uncharacterized LOC122409160, transcript variant X3
Source: RNAcentral